This 405-nucleotide ribosomal RNA is filed under the name uncultured prokaryote. RNAcentral's name for it is "bacterial SSU rRNA". It matches the Rfam family "Bacterial small subunit ribosomal RNA", at positions 355 to 776 of the family's 1533-position model. RNAcentral also lists the same sequence under 1 other name. The record is from RNAcentral.
UGGGGAAUAUUAGGCAAUGGGGGAAACCCUGACCUAGCAACGCCGCGUGAAGGAUGAAGGUUUUCGGAUUGUAAACUUCUUUUUUAAGGGACGAAUAAUGACGGUACCUUAAGAAUAAGCCACGGCUAACUACGUGCCAGCAGCCGCGGUAAUACGUAGGUGGCAAGCGUUGUCCGGAUUUACUGGGUGUAAAGGGCGUGUAGGCGGGAUGUCAAGUCAGAUGUGAAAUACCGCAGCUCAACUGCGGGGCUGCAUUUGAAACUGACGUUCUUGAGUGAUGGAGAGGCAAUUGGAAUUCCUAGUGUAGCGGUGAAAUGCGUAGAUAUUAGGAGGAACACCAGUGGCGAAGGCGGAUUGCUGGACAUUAACUGACGCUGAGGCGCGAAAGCGUGGGGAGCAAACAGG